Molecule: ribosomal RNA, 407 nt
Filed under: uncultured bacterium
Lineage: Bacteria
Description: partial 16S ribosomal RNA
Rfam family: Bacterial small subunit ribosomal RNA
Source: RNAcentral
GACGAACGCUGGCGGCGUGCCUAAUACAUGCAAGUCGAGCGAAGCGGCGGAUGGGUGAGUAACGCGUGGGUAACCUGCCCUUAAGUGUGGGAUACCGUAUGGAAACAGAAGCUAAUACCGGAUAUUAAAGGAUGGACAUGGGAUGCAUUAGCUGGUGGGUAAGGUAAGGGCUUACCAAGGCGAGAAUGCAUGGCCGAGUUGGGGGACUGAUCGGCCACAUUGGGACUGAGACACGGCCCAAACUCCUACGGGGGGCAGCAGUAGGGAAUCUUCCACAAUGGACGAAAGUCUGAUGGAGCAACGCCGCGUGAGUGAAGAAGGUUUUUGGAUCGUAAAGCUCUUUUGUUGGUGAAGCGGUAAUCAACCAGAAAGUCACGGCUAACUACGUGCCAGAGCCGCGGUAAUAC